RNAcentral lists this ribosomal RNA (484 nucleotides) under uncultured bacterium. Its description in RNAcentral is "partial 16S ribosomal RNA". It matches the Rfam family "Bacterial small subunit ribosomal RNA", at positions 30 to 507 of the family's 1533-position model. The record is from RNAcentral.
AUUGAACGCUGGCGGCAGGCCUAACACAUGCAAGUCGAGCGGAUGAAGGGAGCUUGCUCCUGGAUUCAGCGGCGGACGGGUGAGUAAUGCCUAGGAAUCUGCCUGGUAGUGGGGGAUAACGUCCGGAAACGGGCGCUAAUACCGCAUACGUCCUGAGUGAGAAAGUGGGGGAUCUUCGGACCUCCCGCUAUCAGAUGAGCCUAGGUCGGAUUAGCUAGUUGGUGGGGUAAAGGCCUACCAAGGCGACGAUCCGUAACUGGUCUGAGAGGCUGAUCAGUCACACUGGAACUGAGACACGGUCCAGACUCCUACGGGAGGCAGCAGUGGGGAAUAUUGGACAAUGGGCGAAAGCCUGAUCCAGCCAUGCCGCGUGUGUGAAGAAGGUCUUCGGAUUGUAAAGCACUUUAAGUUGGGAGGAAGGGCAGUAAGUUAAUACCUUGCUGUUUUGACGUUACCAACAGAAUAAGCACCGGCUAACUUCGUG